CAGGGAAUGGGGAGCUCUGUGUGUGUGUGUGUAGGUGGACAGGGAAUGGGGAGCUGUGUGUGUGUGUGUGUGUGUGUGUGUGUGUGUGUGUGUGUGUGUGUGUGUAGGUGGACAGGGAAUGGGGAGCUCUGUGUGUGUGUAGGUGGACAGGGAAUGGGGAGCUCUGUGUAGGUGGACAGGGAAUGGGGAGCUCUGUGUGUGUGUAGGUGGACAGGGAAUGGGGAGCUCUGUGUGUGUGUGUGUGUGUGUGUGUGUGUGUGUAGGUGGACAGGGAAUGGGGUGCUCUGUGUGUGUGUAGGUGG
Long non-coding RNA from Oncorhynchus tshawytscha (Chinook salmon), 302 nucleotides. NCBI's taxonomy places the organism in Eukaryota, Metazoa, Chordata, Actinopteri, Salmoniformes, Salmonidae. The record is from Ensembl.